This is a long non-coding RNA of Syngnathus acus (greater pipefish), 180 nucleotides long. RefSeq lists it as uncharacterized. The transcript is spliced from 3 exons. The record is from RefSeq and is a predicted model, not a curated record. Lineage: Eukaryota; Metazoa; Chordata; Actinopteri; Syngnathiformes; Syngnathidae.
GCCAGCCUCCUUAACCACAACGUAAGAAGGAGCACACAAGUCCGGUCGUGGCCGCCCUCCUGUGCACUGGUCCGGCGUCGUGAGAGUCGCACGGGCAAAUUCCAUGAUGUCGCUCAACAUGAACUUGACGCGCUUUGCAGGAGGCCAUCACGAAAACAAGGAGGGGCUUCAACCGCCCGC